UCUUCUUCACUUCACUGAGCAGUCUGCGCUGUGCUCUUGCAGUCAUCUUUACAGGACGGCCACUCCUAGGGAGAGUAGCAGCAGUGCUGAACUUUCUCCAUUUAUAGACAAUUUGUCUUACCGUGGACUGAUGAACAGCAAGGCUUUUUGAGAUACUUUUAUAACCCUUUCCAGCUUUAUGCAAGUCAACAAUUCUUAAUCGUAGAUCUUCUGAGAGCUCUUUUGUGCGAGGCAUCAUU
This is a non-coding RNA of Pelobates cultripes (western spadefoot toad), 239 nucleotides long. Lineage: Eukaryota; Metazoa; Chordata; Amphibia; Anura; Pelobatidae. The record is from the annotation of a GenBank genome assembly.